UGGGGAAUUUUGGACAAUGGGCGCAAGCCUGAUCCAGCCAUGCCGCGUGCGGGAAGAAGGCCUUCGGGUUGUAAACCGCUUUUGUCAGGGAAGAAAUCUUCUGAGUUAAUACCUCGGGAGGAUGACGGUACCUGAAGAAUAAGCACCGGCUAACUACGUGCCAGCAGCCGCGGUAAUACGUAGGGUGCAAGCGUUAAUCGGAAUUACUGGGCGUAAAGCGUGCGCAGGCGGUUUUGUAAGACAGAGGUGAAAUCCCCGGGCUCAACCUGGGAACUGCCUUUGUGACUGCAAGGCUUGAGUGCGGCAGAGGGGGAUGGAAUUCCGCGUGUAGCAGUGAAAUGCGUAGAUAUGCGGAGGAACACCGAUGGCGAAGGCAAUCCCCUGGGCCUGCACUGACGCUCAUGCACGAAAGCGUGGGGAGCAAACAGGAUUAGAUACCCUGGUAGUCCACGCCCUAAACGAUGUCAACUGGUUGUUGGGAAGGUUCCUUCUCAGUAACGUAGCUAACGCGUGAAGUUGACCGCCUGGGGAGUACGGCCGCAAGGUUGAAAACUCAAAAUGAAUUGACGGGGUCAUAGCUGUUUCC
RNAcentral lists this ribosomal RNA (586 nucleotides) under uncultured bacterium. RNAcentral's name for it is "partial 16S ribosomal RNA". It matches the Rfam family "Bacterial small subunit ribosomal RNA", at positions 355 to 937 of the family's 1533-position model. The record is from RNAcentral.